RNAcentral lists this ribosomal RNA (484 nucleotides) under uncultured bacterium. RNAcentral's name for it is "partial 16S ribosomal RNA". It matches the Rfam family "Bacterial small subunit ribosomal RNA", at positions 30 to 507 of the family's 1533-position model. The record is from RNAcentral.
AUUGAACGCUGGCGGCAGGCCUAACACAUGCAAGUCGAGCGGAUGAAGGGAGCUUGCUCCUGGAUUCAGCGGCGGACGGGUGAGUAAUGCCUAGGAAUCUGCCUGGUAGUGGGGGAUAACGUCCGGAAACGGGCGCUAAUACCGCAUACGUCCUGAGGGAGAAAGUGGGGGAUCUUCGGACCUCACGCUAUCAGAUGAGCCUAGGUCGGAUUAGCUAGUUGGUGGGGUAAAGGCCUACCAAGGCGACGAUCCGUAACUGGUCUGAGAGGAUGAUCAGUCACACUGGAACUGAGACACGGUCCAAACUCCUACGGGAGGCAGCAGUGGGGAAUAUUGGACAAUGGGCGAAAGCCUGAGCCAGCCAUGCCGCGUGUGUGAAGAAGGUCUUCGGAUUGUAAAGCACUUUAAGUUGGGAGGAAGGGCAGUAAGUUAAUACCUUGCUGUUUUGACGUUACCAACAGAAUAAGCACCGGCUAACUUCGUG